This 208-nucleotide ribosomal RNA is filed under the name uncultured bacterium. Its description in RNAcentral is "partial 16S ribosomal RNA". It matches the Rfam family "Bacterial small subunit ribosomal RNA", at positions 568 to 774 of the family's 1533-position model. The record is from RNAcentral.
CGUCUAGGCGGCCGCGUAAGUCUCGCGUGAAAGCUCCCGGCUCAACUGGGAGAGGGCGCGGGAAACUGUGUGGCUCGAGACUCGGGAGGGGGGUGCGGAAUUCCCGGUGGAGUGGUGAAAUGCGUUGAGAUCGGGAGGAACACCAGUAGCGAAGGCGGCACCUGGCCGAGGUCUGACGCUGAAGCGCGAUAGCGGUGGGGAGCGAACG